This 490-nucleotide ribosomal RNA is filed under the name uncultured bacterium. RNAcentral's name for it is "partial 16S ribosomal RNA". It matches the Rfam family "Bacterial small subunit ribosomal RNA", at positions 30 to 507 of the family's 1533-position model. The record is from RNAcentral.
AUUGAACGCUGGCGGCAGGCCUAGCACAUGCAAGUCGAACGGUAACAGGAAGAAGCUUGCUUCUUUGCUGACGAGUGGCGGACGGGUGAGUAAUGUCUGGGAAACUGCCUGAUGGAGGGGGAUAACUACUGGAAACGGUAGCUACUACCGCAUAACGUCGCAAGACCAAAGAGGGGGACCUUCGGGCCUCUUGCCAUCGGAUGUGCCCAGAUGGGAUUAGCUAGUAGGUGGGGUAACGGCUCACCUAGGCGACGAUCCCUAGCUGGUCUGAGAGGAUGACCAGCCACACUGGAACUGAGACACGGUCCAGACUCCUACGGGAGGCAGCAGUGGGGAAUAUUGCACAAUGGGCGCAAGCCUGAUGCAGCCAUGCCGCGUGUAUGAAGAAGGCCUUCGGGUUUUAAAGUACUUUCAGCGGGGAGGAAGGGAGUAAAGUUAAUACCUUUACUCAUUGACGUUACCCGCAGAAGAAGCACCGGCUAACUCCGUG